This is a long non-coding RNA of Andrographis paniculata, 798 nucleotides long. RefSeq lists it as uncharacterized. The transcript has 2 exons. Lineage: Eukaryota; Viridiplantae; Streptophyta; Magnoliopsida; Lamiales; Acanthaceae. The record is from RefSeq and is a predicted model, not a curated record.
CCUCUCUCUUUCUCUUCUUCUCUUUCCCGUCGCGACGUCCUCACCUUUCUUCUUCUUCUUCUUCUUUCUCCCUCUUCUUCUUCCCUCCUUUUCUUUUCCCCAUCCCAGUCUCCGCUGCACUACCAGACAGCCCGCGACGACAGCCAUCCACUCGCCGCCUCCGACGCCGCGAUCUGCACCGCCGUUGCGCGCCCUCGCCGAACCGCUUCACCGCGAUUCCAGACCGGUUCCUCCGAUUCCAGCCGGCCGAAUCUUCCCCGUCUGCACCUCCUCUUCUUCAGCCGCUCCACAAUCACUCCUGCUCCUGCGACUCAACCAUCGUCGACAAUCGCCGCCGUGAACCGCUGACCACUGCCCUAGUCCUUCAUCCUUCGAUUGAGAAAGAAAAGACAAAUUUGGUGAAUUUGGAGAAAAAAAAAAAAAUCAACAUUGGACAAUGAAGUUAGUCAUGACUAUGACUAACCACACCCUCGUGACAUGAGAAUUUAAUUAAAGACCCAAAAGCCAAGCUACAAAUAACUAGAGCAAAAAUUAAAUAAAAUGAGGUGGAGUCACACGCAGACACGAGGAAGAUGGCAAGAGCAGAUACGCACAAGGGCAGAAGACUAACAAACUCAUAAAUUGCACAUGAGCAAAUCGACAGAAAAGAUUUCCCCUCUUACUAUGACUUUAUCUUUCUCUAUUGUUCUUUGUUAUUUGAUUAUGAAGUAGAUAUUUUUUCUGAUAUGAAUGAUAAUAAUGUUUUGGUUCUUAUGUUUUGGAGAUUCUUUAUUUACUUUAUAAAAGUUCUUUUUAUUA